This 465-nucleotide ribosomal RNA is filed under the name uncultured bacterium. Its description in RNAcentral is "partial 16S ribosomal RNA". It matches the Rfam family "Bacterial small subunit ribosomal RNA", at positions 28 to 507 of the family's 1533-position model. The record is from RNAcentral.
GACGAACGCUGGCGGCGUGCUUAACACAUGCAAGUCGAACGGAAAGGCCCUGCUUGCAGGGUACUCGAGUGGCGAACGGGUGAGUAACACGUGGGUGAUCUGCCCUGCACUUCGGGAUAAGCCUGGGAAACUGGGUCUAAUACCGGAUAGGAGCCAUUUUUAGUGUGAUGGUUGGAAAGUUUUUUCGGUGUAGGGUGAGCUCGCGGCCUAUCAGCUUGUUGGUGGGGUAAUGGCCUACCAAGGCGGCGACGGGUAGCCGGCCUGAGAGGGUGGACGGCCACAUUGGGACUGAGAUACGGCCCAGACUCCUACGGGAGGCAGCAGUGGGGAAUAUUGCACAAGGGGCGCAAGCCUGAUGCAGCGACGCCGCGUGGGGGAUGACGGCCUUCGGGUUGUAAACUCCUUUCGCUAGGGACGAAGCUUUUUGUGACGGUACCUAGAUAAGAAGCACCGGCUAACUACGUG